This 200-nucleotide unclassified non-coding RNA is filed under the name Knufia sp. Its description in RNAcentral is "partial internal transcribed spacer 2". Lineage: Eukaryota; Fungi; Ascomycota; Eurotiomycetes; Chaetothyriales; Trichomeriaceae. The record is from RNAcentral.
UUAAGUUCAGCGGGUAUUCCUACCUGAUCCGAGGUCAACCUUUGUAAAUAAAAGAAGGAGACCGGCCCGGAAGGUCCUUGAAACUCGACGCGUGCUCGUUUAAAAAGCUCGUUGCACCGAGGGUCCCACGGACGCCGUCAUUGUCUUUGAGACCAGUUGUUCACACAACUUGGGUCCAACACCAAACCCGAGGUUUGAGG